RNAcentral lists this ribosomal RNA (504 nucleotides) under uncultured bacterium. RNAcentral describes it as "partial 16S ribosomal RNA". It matches the Rfam family "Bacterial small subunit ribosomal RNA", at positions 28 to 523 of the family's 1533-position model. The record is from RNAcentral.
GAUGAACGCUAGCGGCAGGCCUAAUACAUGCAAGUCGAACGGGAUCUGAGGGUAGCUUGCUACCCGAUUUGAGAGUGGCGCACGGGUGCGUAACGCGUGAGCAACCUACCCAUAUCAGGGGGAUAGCCCGAAGAAAUUCGGAUUAACACCGCAUAAUAAUACGCUAACACAUGUUGAUGUAUUUAAAUAUUUAUAGGAUAUGGAUGGGCUCGCGUGAAAUUAGCUAGUUGGUAAGGUAACGGCUUACCAAGGCGACGAUGUCUAGGGGCUCUGAGAGGAGAAUCCCCCACACUGGUACUGAGACACGGACCAGACUCCUACGGGAGGCAGCAGUAAGGAAUAUUGGUCAAUGGGCGCAAGCCUGAACCAGCCAUGCCGCGUGCAGGAUGACUGCCCUAUGGGUUGUAAACUGCUUUUGUUAGGGAAUAAACCUUCUUACGUGUAAGGAGCUGAAUGUACCUAAAGAAUAAGGAUCGGCUAACUCCGUGCCAGCAGCCGCCGUAA